AUUGAACGCUAGCGGCAUGCUUAACACAUGCAAGUCGAACGGCAGCACGAGGAGCUUGCUCCUUGGUGGCGAGUGGCGGACGGGUGAGUAACGCGUAGGAAUCUGCCUUAUAGAGGGGGAUAACCCGGGGAAACUCGGGCUAAUACCGCAUAAUCUCUACGGAGCAAAGUGGGGGAUCUUUGGACCUCACGCUAUUAGAUGAGCCUGCGUCGGAUUAGUUUGUUGGUGGGGAAUGGCCUACCAAGACUACGAUCCGUAGCUGGUCUGAGCGGACGACCAGCCACACUGGGACUGAGACACGGCCCAGACUCCUACGGGAGGCAGCAGUGGGGAAUAUUGGACAAUGGGGGAAACCCUGAUCCAGCAAUGCCGCGUGUGUGAAGAAGGCC
This 389-nucleotide ribosomal RNA is filed under the name uncultured bacterium. RNAcentral's name for it is "bacterial SSU rRNA". It matches the Rfam family "Bacterial small subunit ribosomal RNA", at positions 30 to 416 of the family's 1533-position model. The record is from RNAcentral.